GGGUCAGAACUCUCUGUGAUGUCAUCCUAUCCUUUGGAAUCUGUAUUCUUCUUCUAAGUGCAGUACUGUACUUUUUAUAAAAUAACUCUUGCAGAUGGGAGAAUUUUUAUGGGUAGAAUUUGGGACAUGGGUUCAUUUCAUCUUUCUUGACACCUCCUCCAGCUCCAACUUCCUCCUCCUUUAAGUGCAUACACCUGAAUCACCACCUCCACUUGCAAACUCUUCCUGGUUAGAGCAACUAUCCGUAUGGUGCUCAGCUUCCAGAUGGAGAAUUGUCUAGAUAUUGAAAAGGAAACCAACCUUCAUGGAUUACAGGCAGCCUUAGUGGGAGCCCUCCCUUUCCCCUUGGUGUUGUGAUGAGGGGAGCUUCAACACUGACAGCAACAACCACUCCAAGCCUAAUAGAUUGUGUGUCCUGCUUUUCUCAAAGACUAAACUCUGACAGAGUAGCUGGAAUGCCUGAGAAGCAUUACAACAACAAAGGCAAACAUCUUAAAAUAGAAGAGACAGAAAAAAGAAGGAGAACAGAUAAGAAUCAAACUCCCAGACUGUGCACUCUCCUAUUACAUGGUGGAAUUGUUGAGAAGUAA
Molecule: long non-coding RNA, 590 nt
Filed under: Fukomys damarensis (Damara mole-rat)
Lineage: Eukaryota; Metazoa; Chordata; Mammalia; Rodentia; Bathyergidae
Description: lncRNA (ENSFDAG00000028866.1)
Source: RNAcentral